This 202-nucleotide long non-coding RNA is filed under the name Mytilus galloprovincialis (Mediterranean mussel). Lineage: Eukaryota; Metazoa; Mollusca; Bivalvia; Mytilida; Mytilidae. The record is from RNAcentral.
AAGUUAUUGCACUUAAUUUGUUCUGUCUUAUUACCUUUCUUUACAUUUUGUACAAUCCGACAUGACGUUCUUUCAAAAAUAAGUUUUACGUAGUAGCGCUGUUUUUAUUGCAUUUAUAGCAUUUCUAAGAGAAAUUCAAGUCAGUUAAAAGUAUAUCUCUCGUAUAAUCUUUCUGUCUGUUUGUCUGUCUGUCGGUUUGUUU